Molecule: unclassified non-coding RNA, 252 nt
Filed under: fungal sp.
Lineage: Eukaryota; Fungi
Description: partial contains 5.8S ribosomal RNA, internal transcribed spacer 2, and large subunit ribosomal RNA
Source: RNAcentral
CGCACAUUGCGCCCUCUGGUAUUCCGGAGGGCAUGCCUGUUCGAGCGUCAUUUCAACCCUCAAGCCUGGCUUGGUGAUGGGGCACUGCCUUUGAGAAAAGGGCAGGCCCUGAAAUUCAGUGGCGAGCUCGCCAGGACCCCGAGCGCAGUAGUUAAACCCUCGCUUUGGAAGGUCUUGGUGCGGCCCUGCCGUUAAACCCCCAACUUCUGAAAAUUUGACCUCGGAUCAGGUAGGAAUACCCGCUGAACUUAA